AAGCUAGCGCGGAUGGGGUGAGUAACGCGUGGGUAACCCUGCCCUUAAGUCUGGGAUACCAUUUGGAAACAGAUGCUAAUACCGGAUAAAAAGCUACUUUCGCAUGAAAGAAGUUUAAAAAGGCGGCGUAAGCUGUCGCUAAAGGAUGGACCUGCGAUGCAUUAGCUAGUUGGUAAGGUAACGGCUUACCAAGGCGAUGAUGCAUAGCCGAGUUGAGAGACUGAUCGGCCACAUUGGGACUGAGACACGGCCCAAACUCCUACGGGAGGCAGCAGUAGGGAAUUUUCCACAAUGGACGCAAGUCUGAUGGAGCAACGCCGCGUGAGUGAAGAAGGUUUUCGGAUCGUAAAGCUCUGUUGUUGGUGAAGAAGGAUAGAGGUAGUAACUGGCCUUUAUUUGACGGUAAUCAACCAGAAAGUCACGGGCUAACUACGUGCCAGCAGCCGCGGUAAAU
Molecule: ribosomal RNA, 454 nt
Filed under: uncultured Lactobacillus sp.
Lineage: Bacteria; Bacillati; Bacillota; Bacilli; Lactobacillales; Lactobacillaceae
Description: bacterial SSU rRNA
Rfam family: Bacterial small subunit ribosomal RNA
Source: RNAcentral